RNAcentral lists this ribosomal RNA (443 nucleotides) under uncultured bacterium. Its description in RNAcentral is "SSU rRNA". It matches the Rfam family "Bacterial small subunit ribosomal RNA", at positions 26 to 518 of the family's 1533-position model. The record is from RNAcentral.
AGAACGAACGCUGGCGGCAGGCUUAACACAUGCAAGUCGAGCGCCCCGCAAGGGGAGCGGCAGACGGGUGAGUAACGCGUGGGAACAUACCCUCCGGUUCGGAAUAGCUCAGGGAAACUUGGAUUAAUACCGGAUACGGCCUAGCGGCGAAAGAUUCAUCGCCGGAGGAUUGGCCCGCGUUCGAUUAGCUAGUUGGUGAGGUAACGGCUCACCAAGGCGACGAUCGAUAGCUGGUCUGAGAGGAUGAUCAGCCACAUUGGGACUGAGACGCGGCCCAAACUCCUACGGGAGGCAGCAGUGGGGAAUAUUGGACAAUGGGCGCAAGCCUGAUCCAGCCAUGCCGCGUGAGUGAUGACGGCCUUAGGGUUGUAAAGCUCUUUCGCUAGGGACGAUAAUGACGGUACCUAGACAAGAAGCCCGGCUAACUUCGUGCCAGCAGCCGC